UCCCCUUUAGCUCAAUGGUAGAGCAUCUCACUGUUACUGAGAUGGUUGCAAGUUCGAGUCUUGCAGGGGGAG
RNAcentral lists this transfer RNA (72 nucleotides) under Bacillus phage AR9. It matches the Rfam family "tRNA". From Rfam's summary of the family: Transfer RNA (tRNA) molecules are approximately 80 nucleotides in length. Their secondary structure includes four short double-helical elements and three loops (D, anti-codon, and T loops). Further hydrogen bonds mediate the characteristic L-shaped molecular structure. tRNAs have two regions of fundamental functional importance: the anti-codon, which is responsible for specific mRNA codon recognition, and the 3' end, to which the tRNAs corresponding amino acid is attached (by aminoacyl-tRNA synthetases). tRNAs cope with the degeneracy of the genetic code in two manners: having more than one tRNA (with a specific anti-codon) for a particular amino acid; and 'wobble' base-pairing, i.e. permitting non-standard base-pairing at the 3rd anti-codon position. The record is from Rfam by way of RNAcentral. Lineage: Duplodnaviria; Heunggongvirae; Uroviricota; Caudoviricetes.